This 224-nucleotide unclassified non-coding RNA is filed under the name plant metagenome. Its description in RNAcentral is "partial contains small subunit ribosomal RNA, internal transcribed spacer 1, and 5.8S ribosomal RNA". The record is from RNAcentral.
UCUCCGUUGGUGAACCAGCGGAGGGAUCAUUACAGGACUCGCAAGACUCCUUCACCCUGUGAACCUCACUACAAGCACGUUGCGUCGGCGAGUGUCCCGGCGGGGGUUUUCCCUCGCCGGGGCGCACAGCCCGCCGGCAGCCUACUAUACUCUGUCUCUUUGCGUUGGCAUCUCGAGAAAAGACAAACAAGUUAAAACUUUCAACAACGGAUCUCUUGGUUCUG